RNAcentral lists this ribosomal RNA (394 nucleotides) under uncultured bacterium. RNAcentral describes it as "bacterial SSU rRNA". It matches the Rfam family "Bacterial small subunit ribosomal RNA", at positions 28 to 414 of the family's 1533-position model. The record is from RNAcentral.
GACGAACGUUGGCGGUGUGGAUUAGGCAUGCAAGUCGCGCGCGAAACCCUUCGGGGGAGGUAAAGACGGCGAACGGGUGAGUAACACGUAAUCAACCUGCCCUCGAGACCAGAAUAGCUACUGGAAACGGUAGGUAAUGCUGGAUGGCCCCACCGGGAGGCAUCUCCUGAUGGGUAAACGGUGGCGCAAGCUGCUGCUCGGGGGAGGGGAUUGCGGCCUAUCAGCUAGUUGGUGAGGAAUGGCUCACCAAGGCGAUGACGGGUAGCUGGUCUGAGAGGGACGACCAGUCACACUGGGACUGAGACACUGCCCAGACUCCUACGGGAGGCUGCAGUCGAGGAUCUUCCGCAAUGGGCGAAAGCCUGACGGAGCGACACCGCGUGCAGGAUGAAGG